GACGAACGCUGGCGGCGUGCUUAACACAUGCAAGUCGAGCGGUAAGGCCCUUUCGGGGGUACGACGAGCGGCGAACGGGUGAGUAACACGUGGGUGACCUGCCCGUCAGCGUCUGGGGAUAAAGCCUGGGAAACUCGGGUCGUAAUACCGGAUAUGACUCCAUGACGCAUGUUGUGGGGUGGAAAGCCUUGUGCGGCUGAGGAUGGGCCCGCGGCCUAUCAGCUUGUUGGUGGGGUGAUGGCCUACCAAGGCGACGACGGUAGCCGGCCUGAGAGGGCGACCGGCCACACUGGGACUGAGACACGGCCCAGACUCCUACGGGAGGCAGCAGUGGGGAAUCUUGCGCAAUGGGCGAAAGCCUGACGCAGCGACGCCGCGUGAGGGAUGACGGCCU
RNAcentral lists this ribosomal RNA (394 nucleotides) under uncultured bacterium. RNAcentral describes it as "bacterial SSU rRNA". It matches the Rfam family "Bacterial small subunit ribosomal RNA", at positions 28 to 417 of the family's 1533-position model. The record is from RNAcentral.